Molecule: transfer RNA, 75 nt
Filed under: Candidatus Portiera aleyrodidarum (primary endosymbiont of Bemisia tabaci)
Lineage: Bacteria; Pseudomonadati; Pseudomonadota; Gammaproteobacteria; Johnevansiales (SeqCode); Johnevansiaceae (SeqCode)
Description: tRNA-Ala(tgc)
Rfam family: tRNA
About the family: Transfer RNA (tRNA) molecules are approximately 80 nucleotides in length.
Source: RNAcentral
UGGGGCCAUAGUUCAAUUGGAAGAAUGCCUGCUUUGCACGUAGGAGGUUAGGAGUUCAAAUCUCCUUGGCUCCAA